CCCAGCUUGUCAUGUUAGAGCACUUUUUCAACGGGUUCCCCAAUGACAAGGUGAUGACGCAUUCGUAUGUCAUCCAUAUGAACUUUCGAUGCCAUUUACUGCGCCUACCAUGGUGACCACGGUAACAGGGAAUCAGGGUUCGAUUCCGGAGAGGGAGCCUGAGAAACAGCUACCACAUCCAAGGAAGGCAGCAGACGCGCAAAUUACCCACUCCUGACGCGGGGAGGUAGUGACG
Molecule: non-coding RNA, 235 nt
Organism: Pelobates cultripes (western spadefoot toad)
Lineage: Eukaryota; Metazoa; Chordata; Amphibia; Anura; Pelobatidae
Source: the annotation of a GenBank genome assembly